Molecule: non-coding RNA, 27 nt
Filed under: Rattus norvegicus (Norway rat)
Lineage: Eukaryota; Metazoa; Chordata; Mammalia; Rodentia; Muridae
Source: RNAcentral
UGAAAAUGGAGCAGACCCAUGUGGUUU